GUGGGUGAUGGUUUGGUAAGGAAUGCAAUCAUUCGUAAUGAUGGGGUCAGAGGUUCGAGUCCUCUAAGCGCACCA
RNAcentral lists this transfer RNA (75 nucleotides) under Sphingomonadales bacterium EhC05. Its description in RNAcentral is "tRNA-Thr". The record is from RNAcentral. Lineage: Bacteria; Pseudomonadati; Pseudomonadota; Alphaproteobacteria; Sphingomonadales.